This 253-nucleotide ribosomal RNA is filed under the name uncultured bacterium. Its description in RNAcentral is "partial 16S ribosomal RNA". It matches the Rfam family "Bacterial small subunit ribosomal RNA", at positions 524 to 776 of the family's 1533-position model. The record is from RNAcentral.
UACGUAGGGGGCAAGCGUUGUCCGGAAUCAUUGGGCGUAAAGAGCGUGUAGGCGGCCCGGUCAGUCCGCCGUUAAAGUCCAGGGCUCAACCCUGGAAUGCCGGUGGAUACUGCCGGGCUGGAGUCCGGAAGAGGCGAGUGGAAUUCCUGGUGUAGCGGUGAAAUGCGCAGAUAUCAGGAGGAACACCACUGGCGAAGGCAGCUCGCUGGGACGGUACUGACGCUGAGACGCGAAAGCGUGGGGAGCAAACAGG